Molecule: non-coding RNA, 92 nt
Organism: Acanthosepion pharaonis
Lineage: Eukaryota; Metazoa; Mollusca; Cephalopoda; Sepiida; Sepiidae
Source: the annotation of a GenBank genome assembly
ACCCUCGGUUCUCGUACGAUCACCGAAGUUAAGCAUUGUUGAUCCUGGCCAGUACUAGAUGGGUGACCAUUUAGGAAAAUCAAGUGCUGUAA